Molecule: transfer RNA, 69 nt
Filed under: Aacanthocnema dobsoni
Lineage: Eukaryota; Metazoa; Arthropoda; Insecta; Hemiptera; Triozidae
Description: tRNA-Lys
Source: RNAcentral
UUAUUUAGUGACUGAAAAGCAAGUAAUGGUCUCUUAAACCAAUUUAUGGUAUAGCACCUACCCUAAAUA